CCCCGCCUCCCCCCCCCCCCCCCCCCCCCGCCCUGCACAGUUCCCCCUCCCCCGCCCCUCCCUCCUCUGGCCAGCUCCCCCCCCCCCCCCCCCCCCCGGGGGGGGGGGCGGGCGGGGCCGGGGGUGGGGCCGGCGGGGGACCGCCCCCCGGCCGGCGACCGGGCGCCGCCGGGCGCAUUUCCACCGCGGCGGUGCGCCGCGACCGGCUCCGGGACGGCUGGGAAGGCCGGCGGGGAAGGUGGCUCGGGGGGGUUGCCCCGCCGUCGUCACGGCGGCGGGUCCGCCCUUCGCCCCGAGUGUUACAGCCCCCCGGCAGCAGCGCUCGCCGAAUCCCGGGGCCGAGGGAGCCAGCCCUUUGCCGCCGCGCUCUCCCCCCCUGCCGGCGCUCCCUCCCCGCGGGGGGGCCGCUCCCCGCGAGGGGGGCGUUCCCCGCGGGGCGCG
This 441-nucleotide long non-coding RNA is filed under the name Bos indicus x Bos taurus (hybrid cattle). Its description in RNAcentral is "lncRNA (ENSBIXG00005000062.1)". The record is from RNAcentral. Lineage: Eukaryota; Metazoa; Chordata; Mammalia; Artiodactyla; Bovidae.